CUUAGUGACCUACAAAGAGACUUAGACUCCCACACAAUAAUAAUGGAGACUUUAACACCGCACUGUCAACAUUAGACAGAUCAAAAUGCCCACAAGAGAAAGCAGGAAAGAUCCAAAAUUGACACCCUAACAUCACAAUUAAAAGAGCUAGAAAAGCAAGAGCAAAGUGGGCUUCAUCCCUGGAAUGCAAGGCUGGUUCAACAUAUUCAAAUCAAUAAACAUAAUCCAGCAUAUAAACAGAACCAAAGACAAAAACCACAUGAUUAUCUCAAUAGAUGCAGGAAAGGCCUUGACAAAAUUCAACAACCCUUCAUGCUAAAAACUUUCAAUAAAUUAGGUAUUGGCAGGCUGUACGUUCAGAGAGUCGUUUUCUGUCAUAAAUAAUCUCAAAAUUUCUAACACCUGAUAUCUGGAACCAAAUGUCAUUUAAACCAUGCCCAUUUCAAUAACCAAUUUAAUAAUUAUUACAACAACAAUAGCGACUCAACAUUUUGGAGCAGUCUCUAAACGUCAGGUGCUGUUCUGUGUAGCAUCUCAUUUAAUCCAUCAACAAUACAAUUGCUAUUAAUUUCUCCAUUUUAUAAAUGA
This 588-nucleotide long non-coding RNA is filed under the name Pan troglodytes (chimpanzee). Its description in RNAcentral is "long non-coding RNA NONPTRT014188". Lineage: Eukaryota; Metazoa; Chordata; Mammalia; Primates; Hominidae. The record is from RNAcentral.